This 69-nucleotide transfer RNA is filed under the name Timema californicum (California timema). RNAcentral describes it as "tRNA-Pro". Lineage: Eukaryota; Metazoa; Arthropoda; Insecta; Phasmatodea; Timematidae. The record is from RNAcentral.
CAGAUAUUAGUUUAAUUAAAAUAUUAAUUUUGGGAAUUAAUGAUAAGGUUAUUUAUUCCUUUUAUCUGA